CGCCAACACCAGCAAGGCAGCCUCCAGCUACAGGUGAUAUUUCAGGUGGUUGUGGAGUUUGGUGUUUCAUGGCUGAAGCCUAUUCUGGCCGAGAUAGCCAAGAAGGCACCCCAUGUUAUAUUCUUGAAGGUGGACGCUGAUGAGCUUAGUAGGGUUGCUAAGGAGUACAAAAUCAACACGCUGUCCUCCUUUGUGUUCUUCAAAGAGGGGAAGGAGAUUGACAAGGUUGUGAUUAGGAAGGAAGAUAUUGCAGCUAAAAUCACCCUGCAUGGUGGUGUUGCUCCCACUGCUUUUGCUUGAUCAUCAUCAUCGCCACCAUAUAUGUA
Molecule: long non-coding RNA, 326 nt
Organism: Salvia splendens (bonfire salvia)
Lineage: Eukaryota; Viridiplantae; Streptophyta; Magnoliopsida; Lamiales; Lamiaceae
Exons: 3
Source: RefSeq, a predicted model, not a curated record